Molecule: non-coding RNA, 1037 nt
Organism: Scleropages formosus (Asian bonytongue)
Lineage: Eukaryota; Metazoa; Chordata; Actinopteri; Osteoglossiformes; Osteoglossidae
Source: the annotation of a RefSeq genome assembly
GACACAGAACUGCAGGAGACCAUGAGUUUCAUCUCCAUCUUCAUCUGGGCACUGAUCUUCUGGGUUCAGGGAUCCAGUGGUCAGAUCACAGUGACUCAGAGUCCUCCGGUGAAAUCUGCUCGUCCAGGAGACACAGUCACUCUAAAAUGUAACCCCAGUACUUCGAGUGGUCUUGGUAGCAGCCUGUAUUGGUACCAGCAGAAAGAUGGAACAGCUCCUAAACUCCUGAUAUACAAAAUAAGCAGCCGUGAAUCUGGAAUCCCAGAGCGGUUCAGCGGCUCUGGAUCUGGGACCGACUUCAGUCUGACCAUCAGUGGAGUCCAGGCUGAGGAUGCAGCCACAUACUACUGUUUUGGUAAUUUUUAUGCUCCAAACCUCAUAUUCGGUGGCGGCACCAAACUCGAAGUUGGAGUCGAUCAACCCCCGACCCUCACUGUCCUGCCCCCUUCGAGUGAGGAGAUCUCCAAAGGAUCUAAUGCCAAGGUGACGUGCCUGGCCAACAACGGCUACCCCUCCGGCUGGACGCUGAGCUGGAAAGUGGACAACAAGAAUGCCGAGGCGUCAGCGGUAGCCAAUAGUGCAGGGCUUCUUCAGCAGGAUGGCAAGUACAGCUGGAGCAGCACCCUGACCCUUUCUACUACUGAAUGGAACAAGGGGGUGCCCGUCACCUGUGAGGCCACUUUCGGCUCCCAUACCCCCGUCAAAGGGAUGCUGAAGAGCUCCGACUGCUCGCUCUAACCUUAGCAGUGAACCUGAAAUGAAUCCCAAACGUCCCAAACUGUGACCACCCCCCCUCUCCCCAAGAGUGAGCAAGGAGCUACCAGCUAAGGUCCUCUGCUCUUUCCCCAUAAACAUGUCUCUGUGUCCUGUUGCUAGUGGUAAUGUGUGUCUGGUUGCUUGCAAGCAUAGUCUUUAGUCUGGAGUCUGCAUCUGUUUCUUAUUCCAUGCCAAAUAUGUAAUCAGUCUGCUGUUGUAUGAGCUGGUCCCACAGACAUUGUCAGCUGAGAAAAAAAAUCAAAAAUAAAGAUUGUUUUCUG